This 284-nucleotide ribosomal RNA is filed under the name uncultured bacterium. RNAcentral describes it as "partial 16S ribosomal RNA". It matches the Rfam family "Bacterial small subunit ribosomal RNA", at positions 29 to 306 of the family's 1533-position model. The record is from RNAcentral.
AAUGAACGCUGGCGGCGCGCCUAAUACAUGCAAGUCGAGCGAGAAGACGUAGCAAUACGUUUGUAAAGCGGCGAACGGGUGAGGAAUACAUGGGUAACCUACCCUCGAGUGGGGAAUAACUAGCCGAAAGGUUAGCUAAUACCGCGUACGCUUCUUGGACUUCGGUUCAGGGAGGAAAGCGAUGCCGAGGGUAUCGCGCUCUUGGAUGGGCUCAUGUCCUAUCAGCCUGUUGGNGAGGUACGCUCACCAAGCUUCGACGAGUAGCUGGUCUGAGAGGACGAUCA